CAACCCUCAAGCUUUGCUUGGUCUUGGGCACUGCCGGUUAAACGGCUUGCCUUAAAAUCAGUGGCGGUGCCAUUCGAGCUCUACGCGUAGUAAUUUAAACCCUCGCGAUUGAGUCUUGGUGGAUGCUUGCCAGCAACCCUCAAUUUUUUAU
This 151-nucleotide unclassified non-coding RNA is filed under the name uncultured Hymenoscyphus. Its description in RNAcentral is "sequence contains ITS2". The record is from RNAcentral. Lineage: Eukaryota; Fungi; Ascomycota; Leotiomycetes; Helotiales; Helotiaceae.